CCUACGGGUGGCAGCAGUGAGGAAUAUUGGUCAAUGGGCGCGAGCCUGAACCAGCCAAGUCGCGUGAGGGAGGACGGCCCUACGGGUUGUAAACCUCUUUUGCCGGGGAGCAACGGGCGCCACGUGUGGCGUCACUGAGAGUACCCGGAGAAAAAGCAUCGGCUAACUCCGUGCCAGCAGCCGCGGUAAUACGGAGGGUGCGAGCGUUAUCCGGAUUUAUUGGGUUUAAGGGGUGCGUAGGCGGAUCGUUAAGUCAGUGGUCAAAUGGAGGGGCUCAACCCCUUCCCGCCGUUGAAACUGGCGUUCUUGAGUGCACGGGAGGUAAGCGGAAUGCGUGGUGUAGCGGUGAAAUGCAUAGAUAUGACGCAGAACCCCGAUUGCGAAGGCAGCAUGCCGGCUUCCGACUGACGCUGAAGCACGAAAGCGUGGGGAUCGAACAGGAUUAGAUACCCCGGUAGUC
This 460-nucleotide ribosomal RNA is filed under the name uncultured bacterium. RNAcentral's name for it is "partial 16S ribosomal RNA". It matches the Rfam family "Bacterial small subunit ribosomal RNA", at positions 338 to 795 of the family's 1533-position model. The record is from RNAcentral.